This 465-nucleotide ribosomal RNA is filed under the name uncultured bacterium. Its description in RNAcentral is "bacterial SSU rRNA". It matches the Rfam family "Bacterial small subunit ribosomal RNA", at positions 327 to 804 of the family's 1533-position model. The record is from RNAcentral.
CGCCUUAUACUCCUACGGGAGGCAGCAGUGGGGAAUAUUGCACAAUGGGCGCAAGCCUGAUGCAGCGACGCCGCGUGAGGGAUGACGGCCUUCGGGUUGUAAACCUCUUUCACCAGGGACGAAGCGCAAGUGACGGUACCUGGAGAAGAAGCACCGGCCAACUACGUGCCAGCAGCCGCGGUAAUACGUAGGGUGCGAGCGUUGUCCGGAAUUACUGGGCGUAAAGAGCUCGUAGGCGGUUUGUCGCGUCGUCUGUGAAAUUCUGCAACUCAAUUGUAGGCGUGCAGGCGAUACGGGCAGACUUGAGUACUACAGGGGAGACUGGAAUUCCUGGUGUAGCGGUGAAAUGCGCAGAUAUCAGGAGGAACACCGGUGGCGAAGGCGGGUCUCUGGGUAGUAACUGACGCUGAGGAGCGAAAGCGUGGGUAGCGAACAGGAUUAGAUACCCCGGUAGUCCACGUACCA